AGAGGGUGACACUCCCGUCCGCCUGGCAGAGUGAGUCAUUUGUCAACGAGUCGAGUUGUCUGGGAUUGCAGCUCUAAUUUGGUGGUAAAUUCCAUCUAAAGCUAAAUAUUGGUGGGAGACCGAUAGCGUACAAGUACCGUGAGGGAAAGAUAGCAAAGAAACUUUGAAAAAGAGAGUUGAAGAGUACCUGAAACUGCUGAAACGGAAGCGAAGGAAACCUAGUGUUUGUUUGUUCAUAGUUUCCCUAGCCACUUGUGGCUUGGGCGCUGUGGGCUUGCGUGAGUUUGGGUGUUGAUUCUUGGAAGAGCGCAGUCAGAGUUGAUGUCU
RNAcentral lists this ribosomal RNA (327 nucleotides) under Pseudo-nitzschia multiseries. Its description in RNAcentral is "LSU rRNA". It matches the Rfam family "Eukaryotic large subunit ribosomal RNA", at positions 207 to 511 of the family's 3401-position model. The record is from RNAcentral. Lineage: Eukaryota; Bacillariophyta; Bacillariophyceae; Bacillariales; Bacillariaceae.